GCCCCGGUGGCACAAUGGAUAGCGCGAUCCCCUCCUAAGGGAUAGGUUACAGGUUCGACUCCUGUCCGGGGCACCA
This 76-nucleotide transfer RNA is filed under the name Pseudomonadota bacterium. RNAcentral's name for it is "tRNA-Arg". It matches the Rfam family "tRNA". Rfam says of the family: Transfer RNA (tRNA) molecules are approximately 80 nucleotides in length. The record is from RNAcentral. Lineage: Bacteria; Pseudomonadati; Pseudomonadota.